This 497-nucleotide ribosomal RNA is filed under the name uncultured bacterium. RNAcentral's name for it is "partial 16S ribosomal RNA". It matches the Rfam family "Bacterial small subunit ribosomal RNA", at positions 28 to 507 of the family's 1533-position model. The record is from RNAcentral.
GAUGAACGCUGGCGGCGUGCCUAAUACAUGCAAGUCGAGCGAACAGACGAUGCGCUUGCUCCUCUGACGUUAGCGGCGGACGGGUGAGUAACACGUGUAUAACCUACCUAUAAGACGGGGAUAACUUCGGGACACCGGAGCUAAUAGCGUAGAAUAUAUUGAACCGCAGGGGUCAAUAGUGAAAGUCGGUGUUGCUGGCACUUAUAGAGGGAUCCGGGCCGCAUUAGCUAGUUGGGCAGGUAACGGCUUACCAAGGCGAGGAGGCGUAUCCGACCGGAGAGACGGGUCGGCCACCUUGGAGCUGAGCCGGGGUCAAUGGUACUACGGGAGGGCGCAGUCGGGAACGUGACGCAACGGGCGAAAGCCUUACGGAGCAACGCGGCGCGAGUGGUGACGGUCUUCGGAGCGGAAAACUCUGUUAUUAGGGAAGAACCAAUGUGUAAGUAACCAUGCCCGUAUUGACGGUACCGGAUAAGAAAGCACCGGCUAACUACGUG